AUACGGAGGGUGCAAGCGUUGUUCGGAAUUAUUGGGCGUAGAGCGCGUGUAGGCGGUCUGUUAAGUCUGGUGUGAAAGCCCUGGGCUCAACCCAGGAAGUGCAUUGGAUACUGGCAGACUUGAGUAUAGGAGAGGAAAGCGGAAUUCCGAGUGUAGGAGUGAAAUCCGUAGAUAUUCGGAGGAACACCAGUGGCGAAGGCGGCUUUCUGGACCAAUACUGACGCUGAGACGCGAAAGCGUGGGGAGCAAACAGGAUUAGAUACCCGAGUAGUCC
RNAcentral lists this ribosomal RNA (274 nucleotides) under uncultured bacterium. RNAcentral describes it as "partial 16S ribosomal RNA". It matches the Rfam family "Bacterial small subunit ribosomal RNA", at positions 523 to 796 of the family's 1533-position model. The record is from RNAcentral.